GAGUAACACGUAUCCAACCUGCCGUCUACUCUUGGACAGCCUUCUGAAAGGAAGAUUAAUACAAGAUGGCAUCAUGAGUCCACAUGUUCACAUGAUUAAAGGUAUUCCGGUAGACGAUGGGGAUGCGUUCCAUUAGAUAGUAGGCGGGGUAACGGCCCACCUAGUCUUCGAUGGAUAGGGGUUCUGAGAGGAAGGUCCCCCACAUUGGAACUGAGACACGGUCCAAACUCCUACGGGAGGCAGCAGUGAGGAAUAUUGGUCAAUGGGCGAGAGCCUGAACCAGCCAAGUAGCGUGAAGGAUGACUGCCCUAUGGGUUGUAAACUUCUUUUAUAAAGGAAUAAAGUCGGGUAUGCAUACCCGUUUGCAUGUACUUUAUGAAUAAGGAUCGGCUAACUCCGUGCCAGCAGCCGCGGUAAUACGGAGGAUCCGAGCGUUAUCCGGAUUUAUUGGGUUUAAAGGGAGCGUAGAUGGAUGUUUAAGUCAGUUGUGAAAGUUUGCGGCUCAACCGUAAAAUUGCAGUUGAUACUGGAUAUCUUGAGUGCAGUUGAGGCAGGCGGAAUUCGUGGUGUAGCGGUGAAAUGCUUAGAUAUCACGAAGAACUCCGAUUGCGAAGGCAGCCUGCUAAGCUGCAACUGACAUUGAGGCUCGAAAGUGUGGGUAUCAAACAGGAUUAGAUACCCUGGUAGUCCACACGGUAAACGAUGAAUACUCGCUGUUUGCGAUAUACUGCAAGCGGCCAAG
Molecule: ribosomal RNA, 742 nt
Filed under: uncultured bacterium
Lineage: Bacteria
Description: bacterial SSU rRNA
Rfam family: Bacterial small subunit ribosomal RNA
Source: RNAcentral